GCCAGGGACCCCAGCCAUCUGAAGAUACCACCACAAUCUGAUGCACCAUGAAAUCUUCAAGAAACUCCUGCUCUGGGAUCUUUUGUUCAUUUUGCCACUUUUCACAUCUGAACUCCUCCCUCUUCAACAACGCAAAGCCACAGCAGACACAACUCCCACGAAACUCAGUCCUUAAAGACACCUUGUGAGACCUCAGUGUUUACCC
This 205-nucleotide long non-coding RNA is filed under the name Junco hyemalis (dark-eyed junco). RNAcentral's name for it is "lncRNA (ENSJHYG00000012170.1)". The record is from RNAcentral. Lineage: Eukaryota; Metazoa; Chordata; Aves; Passeriformes; Passerellidae.